CAGCAGCCACGGUAAUACAGAGGGUGCGAGCGUUAAUCGGAUUUACUGGGCGUAAAGCGUGCGUAGGCGGCUAAUUGAGUCGGAUGUGAAAUCCCCGAGCUUAACUUGGGAAUUGCAUUCGAUACUGGUUAGCUAGAGUGUGGGAGAGGAUGGUAGAAUUACAGGUGUAGCGGUGAAAUGCGUAGAGAUCUGGAGGAAUACCGAUGGCGAAGGCAGCCAUCUGGCCUAACACUGACGCUGAGGUACGAAAGCAUGGGGAGCAAACAGGAUUAGAUACCCGGGUAGUCCCUGUCUCUUAUAC
Molecule: ribosomal RNA, 301 nt
Filed under: uncultured bacterium
Lineage: Bacteria
Description: partial 16S ribosomal RNA
Rfam family: Bacterial small subunit ribosomal RNA
Source: RNAcentral